This 252-nucleotide ribosomal RNA is filed under the name uncultured bacterium. Its description in RNAcentral is "partial 16S ribosomal RNA". It matches the Rfam family "Bacterial small subunit ribosomal RNA", at positions 524 to 776 of the family's 1533-position model. The record is from RNAcentral.
GACGGAGGGUGCAAGCGUUGUUCGGAUUGACUGGGCGUAAAGGGCGUGUAGGCGGUCGGCCAAGUCUGAUGUGAAAGCCCGAGGCUCAGCCUCGGAAGUGCGUCGGAAACUAGUCGGCUGGAGCGCGAUAGAGGAGGGUGGAAUUCCUGGUGUAGCGGUGAAAUGCGUAGAUAUCGUCUGGAACGCCGAAGGUGAAAACAGCUCGCUGGGCUGCGCUGACGCUGAGACACGAAAGCCAGGGGAGCGAACGGG